CACUAAGAAGCUAACAUACAGCACUAGCCUUUUAAGCUAGAGAGGGAAACAAUUUCCCUUAGUGA
RNAcentral lists this transfer RNA (65 nucleotides) under Podarcis lilfordi (Lilford's wall lizard). The record is from RNAcentral. Lineage: Eukaryota; Metazoa; Chordata; Lepidosauria; Squamata; Lacertidae.